GAUGAUCUUUGGCGGCGUGCUUAACACAUGCAAGUCGAGCGAAGCAGUUAAGAAGAUUCUUCGGAUGAUUCUUGACUGACUGAGCGGCGGACGGGUGAGUAACGCGUGGGUGACCUGCCCCAUACCGGGGGAUAACAGCUGGAAACGGCUGCUAAUACCGCAUAAGCGCACAGAGCUGCAUGGCUCGGUGUGAAAAACUCCGGUGGUAUGGGAUGGGCCCGCGUCUGAUUAGGCAGUUGGCGGGGUAACGGCCCACCAAACCGACGAUCAGUAGCCGGCCUGAGAGGGCGACCGGCCACAUUGGGACUGAGACACGGCCCAAACUCCUACGGGAGGCAGCAGUGGGGAAUAUUGCACAAUGGGGGAAACCCUGAUGCAGCGACGCCGCGUGAGCGAAGAAGUAUUUCGGUAUGUAAAGCUCUAUCAGCAGGGAAGAUAAUGACGGUACCUGACUAAGAAGCCCCGGCUUACUACGUGCCAGCAGCCGCGGUAAUACGUAGGGGGCAAGCGUUAUCCGGAUUUACUGGGUGUAAAGGGAGCGUAGACGGCAAGGCAAGUCUGAAGUGAAAACCCAGGGCUUAACCCUGGGACUGCAUUGGAAACUGUCUGGCUCGAGUGCCGGAGAGGUAAGCGGAAUUCCUAGUGUAGCGGUGAAAUGCGUAGAUAUUAGGAAGAACACCAGUGGCGAAGGCGGCUUACUGGACGGUAACUGACGUUGAGGCUCGAAAGCGUGGGGAGCAAACAGGAUUAGAUACCCUGGUAGUCCACGCCGUAAA
This 776-nucleotide ribosomal RNA is filed under the name uncultured bacterium. RNAcentral describes it as "bacterial SSU rRNA". It matches the Rfam family "Bacterial small subunit ribosomal RNA", at positions 28 to 806 of the family's 1533-position model. The record is from RNAcentral.